UAAUACCUGCAGCUCAAGUGGUGACCGCUAUUAUUGGGCCUAAAACAUUCGUAGCCGGUUUGGUAAAUGCCUGGGUAAAUCGUGUAGCUUAACUAUACGAAUUCCGGGUAGACUGCCAAACUUGAGACCGGGAGAAGCUAGAGGUACUCCUUGGGUAGAGGUGAAAUUCUGUAAUCCUAGGGGGACCACCAGUGGCGAAGGCGUCUAGCUAGAACGGGUUUGACGGUGAGGAAUGAAGCCCUGGGGCGCAAACCGGAUUAGAUACCCGGGUAGUCCAGGGUGUAAACGCUGCUUGCUUGAUGUUAGUUGGGCUCCGAGCCCAAUUAGUGUCGGAGAGAAGUUGUUAAGCAAGCUGCCUGGGAAGUACGAUCGCAAGAUUG
RNAcentral lists this ribosomal RNA (380 nucleotides) under uncultured archaeon. Its description in RNAcentral is "bacterial SSU rRNA". It matches the Rfam family "Archaeal small subunit ribosomal RNA", at positions 471 to 851 of the family's 1478-position model. The record is from RNAcentral.